Molecule: ribosomal RNA, 725 nt
Filed under: Orania bimucronata
Lineage: Eukaryota; Metazoa; Mollusca; Gastropoda; Neogastropoda; Muricidae
Description: partial 16S ribosomal RNA
Rfam family: Bacterial large subunit ribosomal RNA (bases 1-560)
Source: RNAcentral
AUAGAGAGUCGGACCUGCCCGGUGAAGUAUUUUUAACGGCCGCGGUACUCUGACCGUGCAAAGGUAGCAUAAUCAUUUGCCUUAUAAUUGAAGGCUUGUAUGAAUGGUUUGACAAGAAUGAAUCUGUCUCUUUAUAACUAAGUAUAAUUUUAUUUAUAGGUGAAGAAGCCUGUAUUAAAUUGAAAGACAAGAAGACCCUAUCGAGCUUAAAAACAGUUAAUAAAAUUAAAAUCAUAUUUAUAUUGAAUUGGUUAUUAAAAAUUUUAGUUGGGGCGACGAAGGAACAAACAAAGCUUCCUUAAUAUCUUUAUACACACAAGUUAUGAUCCAUAUAUCUUGAUUAAAGGAAUUAGUUACCGUAGGGAUAACAGCAUUAUCUUUUUUGAGAGUUCAAAUCGAAAAAAAGGUUUGUGACCUCGAUGUUGGACCAGAAUAUCCUAAAGAUGUAGCCGUCUUUAAGGGUUGGUCUGUUCGACCAUUAAAAUUCUACGUGAUCUGAGUUCAGACCGGCGUGAGCCAGGUCAGUUUCUAUCUUCCAUUUUUGAUUUGGACUUAGUACGAAAGGAUCAGUCUAUAGUAAAAGUUACUAAAGUUGAUAAAGUAUAAAAUAAAAUUUAAUAAAUAUAAAUUUAAAUCAAAUUAGCAAAGAUAAUGCAAUUGACUUAGGAUCAAUAGACAUAGGUGAAAUUCCUUUAUUUGAUACACUUAUAAAGAUGGCAGAUAAA